RNAcentral lists this ribosomal RNA (1199 nucleotides) under Campylobacter jejuni. RNAcentral describes it as "partial 23S ribosomal RNA". It matches the Rfam family "Bacterial large subunit ribosomal RNA", at positions 1 to 1220 of the family's 2925-position model. Lineage: Bacteria; Pseudomonadati; Campylobacterota; Epsilonproteobacteria; Campylobacterales; Campylobacteraceae. The record is from RNAcentral.
AGGUAAGCUACUAAGAGCGAAUGGUGGAUGCCUUGACUGGUAAAGGCGAUGAAGGACGUACUAGACUGCGAUAAGCUACGGGGAGCUGUCAAGAAGCUUUGAUCCGUAGAUUUCCGAAUGGGGCAACCCAAUGUAUAGAGAUAUACAUUACCUAUAUAGGAGCGAACGAGGGGAAUUGAAACAUCUUAGUACCCUCAGGAAAAGAAAUCAAUAGAGAUUGCGUCAGUAGCGGCGAGCGAAAGCGCAAGAGGGCAAACCCAGUGCUUGCACUGGGGGUUGUAGGACUGCAAUGUGCAAGAGCUGAGUUUAGCAGAACAUUCUGGAAAGUAUAGCCAUAGAGGGUGAUAGUCCCGUAUGCGAAAAACAAAGCUUAGCUAGCAGUAUCCUGAGUAGGGCGGGACACGAGGAAUCCUGUCUGAAUCUGGGUCGACCACGAUCCAACCCUAAAUACUAAUACCAGAUCGAUAGUGCACAAGUACCGUGAGGGAAAGGUGAAAAGAACUGAGGUGAUCAGAGUGAAAUAGAACCUGAAACCAUUUGCUUACAAUCAUUCAGAGCACUAUGUAGCAAUACAGUGUGAUGGACUGCCUUUUGCAUAAUGAGCCUGCGAGUUGUGGUGUCUGGCAAGGUUAAGCAAACGCGAAGCCGUAGCGAAAGCGAGUCUGAAUAGGGCGCUUAGUCAGAUGCUGCAGACCCGAAACGAAGUGAUCUAUCCAUGAGCAAGUUGAAGCUAGUGUAAGAACUAGUGGAGGACUGAACCCAUAGGCGUUGAAAAGCCCCGGGAUGACUUGUGGAUAGGGGUGAAAGGCCAAUCAAACUUCGUGAUAGCUGGUUCUCUCCGAAAUAUAUUUAGGUAUAGCGUUGUGUCGUAAUAUAAGGGGGUAGAGCACUGAAUGGGCUAGGGCAUACACCAAUGUACCAAACCCUAUCAAACUCCGAAUACCUUAUAUGUAAUCACAGCAGUCAGGCGGCGAGUGAUAAAAUCCGUCGUCAAGAGGGAAACAACCCAGACUACCAGCUAAGGUCCCUAAAUCUUACUUAAGUGGAAAACGAUGUGAAGUUACUUAAACAACCAGGAGGUUGGCUUAGAAGCAGCCAUCCUUUAAAGAAAGCGUAAUAGCUCACUGGUCUAGUGAUUUUGCGCGGAAAAUAUAACGGGGCUAAAGUAAGUACCGAAGCUGUAGACUUGCACACAACUU